RNAcentral lists this ribosomal RNA (520 nucleotides) under uncultured bacterium. RNAcentral describes it as "bacterial SSU rRNA". It matches the Rfam family "Bacterial small subunit ribosomal RNA", at positions 777 to 1297 of the family's 1533-position model. The record is from RNAcentral.
AAUAGAUACCCGAGUAGUCCAUGCCGUAAACGUUGGGAACUAGAUGUGGGGGCCAUUCCACGGCUUCCGUGUCGCAGCUAACGCAUUAAGUUCCCCGCCUGGGGAGUACGGCCGCAAGGCUAAAACUCAAAGGAAUUGACGGGGGCCCGCACAAGCGGCGGAGCAUGCGGAUUAAUUCGAUGCAACGCGAAGAACCUUACCAAGGCUUGACAUAUACGAGAACGCUUCAGAAAUGAAGAACUCUUUGGACACUCGUAUACAGGUGGUGCAUGGUUGUCGUCAGCUCGUGUCGUGAGAUGUUGGGUUAAGUCCCGCAACGAGCGCAACCCUCGUUCUAUGUUGCCAGCGCGUUAUGGCGGGAACUCAUAGGAGACUGCCGGGGUCAACUCGGAGGAAGGUGGGGAUGACGUCAAAUCAUCAUGCCCCUUAUGUCUUGGGCUUCACGCAUGCUACAAUGGCCGGUACAAAGGGCUGCAAUACCGCAAGGUGAGCGAAUCCAAAAAGCCGGUCUCAGUUCGGA